This 253-nucleotide ribosomal RNA is filed under the name uncultured bacterium. RNAcentral's name for it is "partial 16S ribosomal RNA". It matches the Rfam family "Bacterial small subunit ribosomal RNA", at positions 524 to 776 of the family's 1533-position model. The record is from RNAcentral.
UACGAAGGGGGCUAGCGUUGCUCGGAAUCACUGGGCGUAAAGGGUGCGUAGGCGGGUCUUUAAGUCAGGGGUGAAAUCCUGGAGCUCAACUCCAGAACUGCCUUUGAUACUGAAGAUCUUGAGUCCGGGGGAGGUGAGUGGAACUGCGAGUGUAGAGGUGAAAUUCGUAGAUAUUCGCAAGAACACCAGUGGCGAAGGCGGCUAACUGGUCCGGUUCUGACGCUGAGGCGCGAAAGCGUGGAGAGCAAACAGG